ACAUCCCUUCAUGGAUACUUUUGGCGCCAACUAGGUUUCUGGGAUCACCAGCGAAGCCUUUUCGUAAUGUAUCUGAGGUCAGCUUUGUUGCUGGUAGAAUUUUGCGACAUCGCUGCUGUUAUUAGUUGUCAUGAUCUCCUUCAAGAACUCUGCAUGAAGUAGGAGGGGUAUUAGAUGUGAAGCAGUUGCAAAGAAAUGUGUUGCCCUCAUGGAUUAAUUGUAGAUUCAAGAGCUAGAUCGUUCUUUUAUGUUAUAAUCCUUUCAAGAAUCCCCGUCCAUUUUGAUACCUUGAACACAAUAAUUCCGCAACCAUGACCAAGCCUCCAUGCAGAUAUGUGCAUGAUUCGAGGUCCCCAACAGGAGUUUCCUU
Molecule: long non-coding RNA, 370 nt
Filed under: Physcomitrium patens
Lineage: Eukaryota; Viridiplantae; Streptophyta; Bryopsida; Funariales; Funariaceae
Description: long non-coding RNA (PPAT_LNC011275)
Source: RNAcentral